CGGGUGAGUAACGCGUGGGUAACCUGCCUCAUACAGAGGGAUAACAGUUAGAAAUGGCUGCUAAUACCGCAUAAGACCACAGUACUGCAUGGUACAGUGGUAAAAACUCCGGUGGUAUGAGAUGGACCCGCGUCUGAUUAGGUAGUUGGUGAGGUAACGGCCCACCAAGCCGACGAUCAGUAGCCGACCUGAGAGGGUGACCGGCCACAUUGGGACUGAGACACGGCCCAG
This 231-nucleotide ribosomal RNA is filed under the name uncultured bacterium. Its description in RNAcentral is "partial 16S ribosomal RNA". It matches the Rfam family "Bacterial small subunit ribosomal RNA", at positions 103 to 334 of the family's 1533-position model. The record is from RNAcentral.